This 399-nucleotide ribosomal RNA is filed under the name uncultured bacterium. RNAcentral's name for it is "bacterial SSU rRNA". It matches the Rfam family "Bacterial small subunit ribosomal RNA", at positions 29 to 430 of the family's 1533-position model. The record is from RNAcentral.
AUUGAACGCUGGCGGCAUGCCUUACACAUGCAAGUCGAACGGUAACGCGGGGCAACCUGGCGACGAGUGGCGAACGGGUGAGUAAAGUAUCGGAACGUGCCCAAUAGUGGGGGAUAGCCCGGCGAAAGCCGGAUUAAUACCGCAUGAGACCUGAGGGUGAAAGCGGGGGACUCGCAAGAGCCUCGCGCUGUCGGACGCGGCCGAUAUCAGAUUAGGUAGUUGGUGGGGUAAAGGCCUACCAAGCCGACGAUCUGUAGCUGGUCUGAGAGGACGACCAGCCACACUGGGACUGAGACACGGCCCAGACUCCUACGGGAGGCAGCAGUGGGGAAUUUUGGACAAUGGGCGCAAGCCUGAUCCAGCAAUGCCGCGUGCAGGAUGAAGGCCUCGGUUGUAACG